GCGUCGGUAGUAUAGCGGUAGAAUGCUUGCCUUCCAAGCAAGCGGCACGGGUUCGACUCCCGUCCGACGCA
This is a non-coding RNA of Nowakowskiella sp. JEL0407, 71 nucleotides long. The record is from the annotation of a GenBank genome assembly. NCBI's taxonomy places the organism in Eukaryota, Fungi, Chytridiomycota, Chytridiomycetes, Cladochytriales, Nowakowskiellaceae.